UACGAGAGGUGCAAGCGCUAUCCGGAAUUAUUGGGCGUAAAGCGUCCGCAGCUUCUUUAGAAAGUCUAGGGUUAAAUUACAACGCUCACCGUUGUAUCGGUCCUGGAAACUUCUAGAGUAGAGGUUGGUAGAGGUAAGCGGAAUUCCUAUUGUAGGGGUAAAAUCCGUAGAUAAUAGGAGGAACACCAAAAGCGAAGGCAGCUUACUGGACCAAAUCUGACAGUCAUGGACGAAAGCGUGGGGAGCAAACAGG
Molecule: ribosomal RNA, 253 nt
Filed under: uncultured bacterium
Lineage: Bacteria
Description: partial 16S ribosomal RNA
Rfam family: Bacterial small subunit ribosomal RNA
Source: RNAcentral